CCUCCUAGUAGAGUUUGAUCCUGGCUCAGAACGAACGCUGGCGGCGUGCCUAACACAUGCAAGUCGAACGAGAAAGGGACUUCGGUCCCGAGUAAAGCGGCGCACGGGUGAGUAACACGUGGGUAACCUGCCUCUAAGACCGGGAUAACCCGUCGAAAGAUGAGCUAAUACCGGAUAAGACCACAGUUCCUGCGGGAAUCGAGGUCAAAGGUAGCCUCUGCAGUGCAAGCUAUCACUCAGAGAUGGGCCCGCGCACCAUUAGCUAGUUGGUAGGGUAACGGCCUACCAAGGCAAAGAUGGUUAGCUGGUCUGAGAGGAUGAUCAGCCACACUGGAACUGAGACACGGUCCAGACUCCUACGGGAGGCAGCAGUGGGGAAUAUUGCGCAAUGGGCGAAAGCCUGACGCAGCAACGCCGCGUGAGUGAUGAAGGCCUUCGGGUCGUAAAGCUCUGUCGGAGGGAACGAACGUUCCCGGGGUUAACAGCCCCGGGAAGUGACGGUACCCUCAAAGGAAGCACCGGCUAACUCUGUGCCAGCAGCCGCGGUAAUACAGAGGGUGCUAGCGUUGUUCGGAAUCAUUGGGCGUAAAGGGCGUGUAGGCGGUUUGCUAAGACAGGUGUGAAAUCCCCGGGCUUA
RNAcentral lists this ribosomal RNA (637 nucleotides) under uncultured delta proteobacterium. RNAcentral describes it as "bacterial SSU rRNA". It matches the Rfam family "Bacterial small subunit ribosomal RNA", at positions 1 to 611 of the family's 1533-position model. Lineage: Bacteria; Deltaproteobacteria. The record is from RNAcentral.